RNAcentral lists this long non-coding RNA (4829 nucleotides) under Salmo salar (Atlantic salmon). Its description in RNAcentral is "lncRNA (ENSSSAG00000087332.1)". The stretch from base 526 to 631 matches the Rfam family "mir-223 microRNA precursor family". Lineage: Eukaryota; Metazoa; Chordata; Actinopteri; Salmoniformes; Salmonidae. The record is from RNAcentral.
GAGGUAUCAGUGAAAGCUGUGUGCUUAGUGUGCAAAGAGAGCAUCACUGUCUUGAAAGACUACAACUUGUCCCGACACUUCCAGACAGCAUGUAGAGAAAUAUAGGAAUAUGUCUUCUAAGCAGAAGGCAAGUGUAUUGAAAGAGUUGCUUUCUCAGCUGCAAGAGCAGCAAGGACUUUUCACAAAACUGCAUUCAGCAAAUGACGGAAUUGCGAGAGCUGGCUAUGUACUGUCCCACAAAAUUGAUAAACAUAGCAAGCCAUUCGCUGACUCUGCACCAAUAAUUUGCCCUGACAAGAAAGAGCUGUUUGAAAAUGUUUCCAUGUCAAGACGAACAGUGACACGGCAUGUUGAGGACAUCGCAGGGAAUAUGGAACAACAGCUGAAAGACAAGAUGCACAGUAUCAUCAGCGUCUCUGUCCCUGUUUGGUCAAAGGAGAGAACUCGACGAAGGAAUCAUUGGGGCAUGCACUAUACAUCCACCUUUUCAACUAGAGGUCCGAUCACAAAGGCUCAUCAUCUGCAACUGUGAGAGAAGGCCCCCCACUUAGUGUAUUUGACAAGCUGAGUUGGACACUCAGUAUGACAGGGUGUCAGUUUGUCAAAUACCCCAAGUGAGGGGUCACUUGUCUGCUGAGCAUCUCCCACCAGACUGACUUCAAAGAAGAUCACUUCAUAAACUUUCAAGUGACUUUCACUGUUACCCCGUUAGACUUUCUCAGGCAAAACAUUUGAUUGUGUGAUAGUGUACAUGAUCCUGCACGGUCACUAAUGUCUCAUGUAUUCGUGUGAGUUUGUAUGAUGACACUUGGUACACUGUGUAACAAAUGUGUGUGUCCCUGUAUUAAAUACUGCAUAAGAACUGGGUAAACUUGAGGUUCCUAGCAUAUGUAAAGACGAUGUGUUUAGACAAAUACGUAGAAAUGGAAUAGAGAUAACUUUUCAUCAGGUUUCUAAUACACUUUUUGUAGGCCUAAAUUAAGUACAUAAGGGUGACUGACCCACUACCAAUGUCAAGUAAUCACUGGGUGACACACUGGCACGGCGAGCGAUGGCACAUUGCUCUACAAUGCUCAGCACAAAUUGGUUAUCAUGGAAGAAAUUAAAGGAGAGUUUCUUCUAAUAUGAAACACAACGUUGCUUUCAAUUAACGGAGAUAUAGAGCAGUUGGAGAUAUAUCACUUAUUUAUAGGGCGGCAGGUAUCCUACGAUUAGAGCCUUAGACCUGAGCCAACGAGGUGAAAAUUCUGUCGACGUGCCCUUGAGCAAGGCACUUAACCCUAAAUGCUCCAGGGCUGCUUUUGAUAAUGGCAGACCUUGGCUGUGACCACACUCUGAGGGAGUCUCAUGGACAGAUGGUAUAUGCACAUUUACAAUUCACACAUGCUUAUUAACGUGUGAAAUAGGACAAAUAUAAGCACACACCAAAUUAUUAUUUAUCUUGCAAUCUAUGCUUUUACAAGGCCUAUUAUUAUGUUCAAUAACCUGCCUUUGGAUAAUUCUGUAAAAUACCACCCUUUAUCUGUCAGACCCACAUGCCUUCCUGUGCUCACAAAGCCACAUGCGCUUGAGUAAGAGCGGAUAUCUGUACCAUCUUGUGAUUAGAUAGCAGUGUUUGACUCACAUACUGCAUAGCAACGGCAACAGAUCGAUUGACUGAUUUAUUGGGCAAAAAGAUGCAACCCAGGGGAUAACACAUUAAAGCAAAAUGAACUUGUUUCCAACGUGGUCCCUGAUGGAAUAUACAAAAUGCAGAUAAAAAAAAUUGUAAUCCCUACAGUACGUGGAACUAUCUAUCACCCAUCAUUAUCAUUUGUCAUCAACACUGAAUAUCAUUGUAAUCUACCGACAUGGUACCAAAACAACCCAGUAUCACUACACUGUGCACUGAGUGUACAAAACAUUAUGAACACAAUCAGUGUAGAUGAAGGGAAGGAGACAGGUUGAAGAAGGAUUUUUAAGCCUUGAGACAAUUGAGACUUGGAUUGUGUAUGGGUGCCAUUCAUAGGGUGAAUGGGCAAGAAAAAUAUAAGUGCCUUUGAGCAGGGUAUGGUGGUAGAUGCCAGGCUCACCGGAUUGUGUCAAGAACUGUAAUGCUGCUGGGUUUUUCACACCCAACAGUUUCCCAUGUGUAUCAAGAAUGGUCCACCACCCAAAGGACAUCAAGCCAACUUGUGGAACGCUUUCAACAUCUUGUAGUGUCCAUUCCCCGACUAAUUGAAGCUGUUCUGAGGAAUCCUGUGUGAACUAGGGCUUUACUACUCCUGUAUGAGAGGAAAAAACAUUAAACAAAACCAAAUAUGGGACUGAGUCACAAAAUUCAACAACCAAGACUUUACUCAUUAUAGCUUAUUCAGUCAUUAUCAUAAUUUCACUUUAAAUGGGAAUAGUGUUGCUUGCCACAUUGUGAUAAAGAAGCAGAUGCAUUCUGUCACAUGUUUGUUUAUUAUUAAUUUGUCAGUUGCUGAUUUAGUGAUUACUCUACUCAACACUCCUUUUAUUCUGGUAAGUUACCUCAGCUAAAUAGAAAAUGUCACAGAUAUGGGCUUUACCUGUUUAUGACUGUUAGUUGUUUUUUAGUGCAUCAUUUCUGUGCAGUCCUUAAAGCCACAGUCUGUAUUUUUCUGUAAUUAUAAAUAAUGAAAUAUAUUUAGAUUUUGCAGAGUAGGCUUUGACUUAUAAAGACCUUAUUAAGAUUAGUAACCUACAACUGUCUUACCUUACCAAAAUACUAAGGACCUAGAACAUCAACUUGUUCAUAUUUUUGUUGUCACUGGAGAAUUUCUUCACACAUAUAUCAUCAAGAAGUCCCUGUUACAGCUCUCAAUUUGAGUCCCUGUUAUAGCUCUCACUCUCUACUGUUACACUGGUGGCAGAGUUGGGAUUUGUCCUGUCUCAGGCAUCAGGGAAGUGUUCUCCGGUUCAAAGGUAGGUUUUAUGCUUGAGGACUCUUCUCGAAAGAGGGGGAGUACUGUAACAGGUGUACAGUAUUUGAAUGUUGUACUGCCUCACAGAGGUCCAGGUUUUUGUGGUAGGCUACAGACUGUUAGGCACUCAUCUCUGCACCAUAGGGGAUUCAGUUCAGUCCCCCUUACAGCUUUCACUCUCUCCUGUUAAACUCUAUCACCACUUGUAUCUUUCUCAUAGAGGUGAUGAAUUAGUCUUUGAUUAAAUGCAAAUCAACUGCAUAAUGAUCAGCAUGACAUCUGUGCCCUGGGGGUGUACGGCUACUGUGGCCAGAUAAUCUAAUUGACUUAUUAUUAAAAUAUGUCUGCGCACUGUUGAUUAUGUUUGACAUUUGUUUUUCAUCGGAUGAUCAUCCAAAUUGGCAUAAUUGUAAGUGUUGGCUAUCACUUGUUUUAUAUAUUUAUAAGGAAAUGUUUACUUUAUGAAAACUCGGAUUGUUUUGUAUUACUGUAACAUAUGUUCUGUUUUUCAGGCCAGAUUUGUGAAAAGCACAUGGGUCUUUGGGAAGACCAUACGUCAUGUCAGCCGAUUCAUGCAGUACUGCUCUGUUCAUGUGUCAGUGCUGUCCCUAGUGUCAUUUGCCCUAGACAGACAUCAAGUAACUAACUUGCUGUAUAUGCUUACUUUCUUCUUUUACAAAAGAGCCACAUGAUUUUCACAUGGAAAAUCACUACCAUGUCGGUAGAUUACAAUGAUAUUGUCACAUCCUGACCAGUAAAAGGGGUUAAUUAUUAUUAAGUAAAAGUAAAAAAAGUAAAAGGGGUUAAUUGUCAUUGUAGUUUGGUCAGGGCAUGGCAGGGGGUGUUUGUUUUGUGUGUUUCGGGUUUUUUGAUUUAUGUUCUAUAUUUUCUAUUUCUAUGUUUAAUUCUAGUUUUCUAAUUCUAUGUUGUGUUUUUUCAAUGACCCCCAAUUAGAGGCAGCUGGUUGUCGUUGUCUCUAAUUGGAGACCAUAUUUAAGUGUGUUCGUUUUCACUUGUGUUUGUGGGUGGUUGUUUCCAGUAUAGUCUGUGCACCUUACUGGACUGUUUUUCGUCGUCUGUUUAUUUUGAUUAAGUGUUUUCUUUAAUAAAUAAGAAGAUGAGCACUUUACCCGCUGCGUUUUGGUCCACUCCAUACGACGCCUAUGACAGAUAUUCAGUGUUGAUGACAAAUGAUAAUGAUGGGUGAUAGCUCCAUGUACUGGAGGGAUUACUAUGUGUUUUUGGAACACUUCACGUGAUAAUAUUUUGUGAUCACAACCUUUCCCAUAUUCAUUCAAAUUUUCACCUGAAUAUUUUUCAUGAGAUUUCACCGGUAGGAUACACACAGUGUUUUUUCAACUUGCAUAUUUGAUACACAUUCUGUAUGUUUAUUUAUACAGUAAUUAUUAUUCAACAUGUCCUCACUUACCAAAAUCAACUAUUGUAUACUUUAGCAGCGCUUCCCUUCCUCCUGGGAUUUGAACUCACAACGGCAUUCCGAUCUUCCUGCUUCGCCACCAUGUCUUUUUCAAUGAGCGAUUUCACCCGUAUUCCUACACUAUGGACUUCAAAGUAGAUUUCAGCUUUGUUGAAAACACACUCAAAACAAACUAUUAUAUUAUACUGAUUCAGAAGUACCAUUAAACCAAAAGAAUAGGCCCAACCAACAUUAGGCAACUAUACCGAAAACUCUAACAUUUCUGAAACAACUAAAUGAAAUCCAUAAGAGAAUAGUCAUAAUAACAGAUAACAAAAAUAACAGUGCAGAUGGCAAACUUUUUGCUAAGUGCAGUGAUGUAUUAUAAGUUAUAAAUGUGUGGAGGAAUGCUAUAGACUAUGUGGCGCAGCAGAAAGAGCAGUAUACCAUAAAUCCAGAGGUUACAAGUUCAAAACCCAGCUGGG